CAUGGGUGAGGCCAGCCAUCUAGCCCCAGUGACAUUUUCAGAAGACCAGAGAGAGCACCAGGCAGCGUUCUGUACAACUUCACGAAAGAAUGCCAGGAUCACAUUGUCAAGUCUCUAGGCUUCCAGAAAUUGGCCAGGCAUAGCAGCACAUGCCUUUAAUCCCAGCACUGGAGAAUUUGAGGCUAUCCUGGUCUGUGUUAUGUGUGUAUAUUCACGUGUAUGACCCAGGUUUGGUUCCCGGCCCCCGUGUCAGGUGUCUGUAACUGCCUGCAACUCCAGCUCCAAAGGAUGGCCUCUGAGGGUACACGCAUGCAUGUGCACACAUACACAGUUAAAAAUAAAGUAAAUCUUUAAAAACUGAAGAGUAAAUAGAGACACAAAAUCAGUCCUUUGCCUCCACAGACCUUGAGUGUACACAUUAGGCAGAAAGAAAGCAUCAUAGAAUCAUUGAUAUAUAGUAUAAAAUGUAAGAGAACAGUGAUGGGUGUGCGGGUUCAUGGCUGUAAGCAUAUUUUUCAAGACUGAGACAGAAGAAGUGAUUUCUGGGUCAGCAUGGACUAUCUGGUAAACUCCUGUCUCAAACA
Long non-coding RNA from Meriones unguiculatus (Mongolian gerbil), 584 nucleotides. RefSeq lists it as uncharacterized. The record is from RefSeq and is a predicted model, not a curated record. Lineage: Eukaryota; Metazoa; Chordata; Mammalia; Rodentia; Muridae. The transcript is spliced from 3 exons.